GUGGACAACCGCCAAGCGACGAACUUAUGUCGCCCGACGGUUUGCCUCUUAUCGCGCCACCGCCCGGCGGCAGGUGGCCACCGCCUGGCGGUUUGACUCUAAUCGCAAAUCCGCCCAGUGCCCACGCCAGGUGCCUUAUCCUCGCCCUGGACUGCCCAGCGGUGAAUUUUGCCGCCGGGCGGUCCCUAGACUCAUCUUUUCUUCAGUUUUCU
RNAcentral lists this long non-coding RNA (212 nucleotides) under Vigna radiata. RNAcentral describes it as "long non-coding RNA (VRAD_LNC006123)". The record is from RNAcentral. Lineage: Eukaryota; Viridiplantae; Streptophyta; Magnoliopsida; Fabales; Fabaceae.